AUGAAUAAUUCUCUUGUAGUAUACCUAAAAAGUCUUCAAACUUUCUGUGCAUUUGCAUCCACCAAAUUCUCUUCUUUUGCCAAAUCUGCAUGGCAAUCUAUGAAAUACUCCUGCCGGUUCAUCUGCCAAACUAACCCGCUCUUUAUCCAAGUCACCUAUUUCACCUUGAUCUCAUUUGCUGGAUAUGAAGCUCUGAAGGUUCUUAACUCUCAAGAUAAGUCAAAUACUCUGAAAAACUUAGACGUGUUGUUUACUUCUGUAUCUGCAUCAACUGUCUCAAGCAUGGCUACUGUUGAAAUGGAGGAAUUCUCAAGCAAACAACUCUGGGUUUUGGCAAUUUUAAUGCUGAUUGGCAGUGAGGUGUUCACUUCAGUACUUGGUCUUCACUUCAUGAGGGCUAAAUUCAAUAAAGAAAAUUCACUCAACACAAGGGACCACAUAUCUCAUAUUGAUAUUGAAUCUAUUAAUGUUGCAAACUUUGAUCCCAACACUAGCCAUGGCACAAAAGAUGCAGUUUCAUUUUCUGAAAUCCGCCUGGCAAACAAACAACAUGUUGAUCCCAAGACAACUGUACUUUUAGGUACUGCAGUGACGGUCUAUCUUCUAAUAACAAACUUAGGGAGCUCCUUACUUAUUUACCUCUACCUUAAGUUAGUACCAGAUGCACAAGAAGUUCUGAAGAGAAAAGGGGUUGGGCUCUUUUUAUUUUCUGUAUUUACAGCUAUAUCCUCGGUUGCAAACUGUGGCUUCACUCCAGUAAACGAGAAUAUGGUUAUCUUCCAGAAGAACUCCGGUCUGCUAUUGCUAAUUAUUCCUCAGAUGCUAGUAGGAAAUACAUUAUUUGCACCAUGCUUGAGAUUCAUGGUGUGGUCACUCCAGAAGAUUACCGGGAAACAAGAAUGGUGUUACAUUCUUGAGCAUGCAAACGCCAUCGGAUACAGGCAUCUUAUGAGUACAAGAAAGUGUGCUUGCUUAAUUUUAACUGUUGUGGGCUUCAUAAUUCUGCAAACCAUAUUGUUUUGCGCUUUGGAAUGGAGCUCCGAGGCUUUGCAGGAAAUGAGCAGCUAUCAAAAGAUAGUAGGUGCUCUUUUUCAGUCAACCAAUGCAAGGCAUGCUGGUGAAACUAUUGUGGAUCUGUCAAGCAUCUCUUCGGCAAUAAUAUUCCUAUACAUCGUCAUGAUGUACCUUCCUGGCUACACAUCAUUUUUCACCAAUUAUGAUGAUCGGUAUUCUAAGGAUGAGAAGAGAUACAACAGAAAAGGGCUAUUGGAGGACUGGAUCUUGUCCCAGCUGUCUUAUUUGGCUAUCUUUGUCAUGCUAAUUUGCAUCACUGAGCGAGAAGCACUGACCACAGAUCCACUUAAUUUCAAUGUUUUCAGCUUACUGUUUGAAAUUGUAAGUGCAUAUGGAAACGUGGGCUUCUCGAUGGGUUACAGCUGCAAGAGGUUACUGAAACAAGACCUACACUGCAAGGAUGCUUCAUAUGGGUUUGUUGGGAAAUGGAGCGAUGAGGGGAAAAUGAUUCUGAUCAUAGUCAUGGUCUUCGGGAGGCUUAAGGGGUACAAUUUGAAGGGGGGAAAAGCAUGGAAACUUAGAUAG
Molecule: ribosomal RNA, 1599 nt
Filed under: Triticum aestivum (bread wheat)
Lineage: Eukaryota; Viridiplantae; Streptophyta; Magnoliopsida; Poales; Poaceae
Description: partial small subunit ribosomal RNA
Source: RNAcentral